UUUGACGUUACCUACAGAAGAAGCACCGGCUAACUCCGUGCCAGCAGCCGCGGUAAUACGGAGGGUGCGAGCGUUAAUCGGAAUUACUGGGCGUAAAGCGCAUGCAGGCGGCCUGUUAAGUCAGAUGUGAAAGACCCGGGGCGUUAACCUCGGAAUUGCAUUUGAAACUGGCAGGCUAGAGUCUUGUAGAGGGGGGUAGGAAGUUUCAGGUGUAGCGGUGAAAUAGCGUAGAGAUCUGAAGGAAUACCAGUGGCGAAGGCGGCCCCCUCGGACAAAGACUGACGCUCAGAUGCGAAAGCGUGGGGAGCAAACAGGAUUAGAUACCCUGGUAG
RNAcentral lists this ribosomal RNA (332 nucleotides) under uncultured bacterium. RNAcentral describes it as "bacterial SSU rRNA". It matches the Rfam family "Bacterial small subunit ribosomal RNA", at positions 468 to 793 of the family's 1533-position model. The record is from RNAcentral.